AGAGUUUGAUUUUGGCUCAGAACGAACGCUGGCGGCGUGCCUAACACAUGCAAGUCGAACGAGGAAGGAAUCUUCGGAUUCCUGAGUAGAGUGGCGCACGGGUGAGUAACACGUGGAUAACCUGCCCUAUGAUCUGGGAUAACAUUUCGAAAGAGAUGCUAAUACCGGAUAAGCCUACACAAUCUUCGGAGCGAGUAGGAAAAGAUUUAUCGUCAUUGGAUGAGUCCGCGGACCAUUAACUUGAUGGUGGGGUAAUGGCCUACCAUGGUUACGAUGGUUAACUGGUCUGAGAGGAUGAUCAGUCACACUGGAACUGAGACACGGUCCAGACUCCUACGGGAGGCAGCAGUAGGGAAUAUUGCGCAAUGGAGGAAACUCUGACGCAGCCACGCCACGUGAGUGAGGAAGGCCUUCGGGUUGUAAAGCUCUGUCAGUGGGGAAAAAAGACCCGCAAGGGAGAUGAUGGUACCCACAAAGGAAGCACCGGCUAACUUCGUGCCAGCAGCCGCGGUAAUACGAAGGGUGCAAGCGUUGUUCGGAUUUAUUGGGCGUAAAGCGCGCGCAGGCGGAUUGAUAAGUCAGGUGUGAAAUCUUGGGGCUUAACCCCGAAACUGCGCCUGAAACUGUUAGUCUAGAAUCUUGGAGAGGGAAGUAGAAUUUCGCAUGUAGGGGUAAAAUCCGUAGAGAUGCGAAGGAACACCAGAGGCGAAGGCGACUUCCUGGACAAGUAUUGACGCUGAGGCGCGAAAGCGUGGGUAGCGAACAGGAUUAGAUACCCUGGUAGUCCACGCCGUAAACGAUGAGCACUAGGUGUUGCGGGUAUUGACCCCUGCAGUGCCAAAGCUAACGCAUUAAGUACCCCGCCUGGGGAGUACGGCCGCAAGGCUAAAACUCAAAGGAAUUGACGGGGGCCCGCACAAGCGGUGGAGCAUGUGGUUUAAUUCGACGCAACGCGAAGAACCUUACCUGGGCUUGACAUCCCGAUCGUACCUUUUGGAAACAUUAGGGUCAGCUUGGCUGGAUCGGUGACAGGUGCUGCAUGGCUGUCGUCAGCUCGUGUCGUGAGAUGUUGGGUUAAGUCCCGCAACGAGCGCAACCCUUGUCCUUAGUUGCCAUCAUUUAGUUGGGCACUCUAGGGAGACUGCCGGUGAUAAGCCGGAGGAAGGUGGGGAUGACGUCAAGUCCUCAUGGCCCUUAUAUCCAGGGCUACACACGUGCUACAAUGGCCGGCACAAAGGGCAGCAAUACCGCGAGGUGGAGCUAAUCCCAAAAAGCCGGUCUCAGUUCGGAUUGGAGUCUGCAACUCGACUCCAUGAAGUUGGAAUCGCUAGUAAUCGCGUAUCAGCAUGACGCGGUGAAUACGUUCCCGGGCCUUGUACACACCGCCCGUCACACCACGGGAGUCGAUUGUACCGGAAACCGGUGGGCUAACCUUCGGGAAGCAGCCGUUUAUGGUAUGAUCGGUGACUGGGGUGAAGUCGUAACAAGGUAUCCGUACCGGAAGGUGCGGAUGGAUCACCUCCUU
This 1525-nucleotide ribosomal RNA is filed under the name uncultured prokaryote. RNAcentral's name for it is "partial 16S ribosomal RNA". It matches the Rfam family "Bacterial small subunit ribosomal RNA". The record is from RNAcentral.